This is a long non-coding RNA of Pseudopipra pipra, 5650 nucleotides long. RefSeq lists it as uncharacterized. NCBI's taxonomy places the organism in Eukaryota, Metazoa, Chordata, Aves, Passeriformes, Pipridae. The transcript is spliced from 3 exons. The record is from RefSeq and is a predicted model, not a curated record.
CACAGUGGUCCUGGCACCCACAGUCCAGGGAUGGGGUGCCCUAUAAACAGAGGUGGCAGUGCCCCAGCAGCAGGAUUUGGGCAGACAUCCACGGGCCACGUGCUGCACGUUCGCUUGACCCGUGCCUGUGGCAAGGAACGCGUCGCAAGCGCAUCUCUGCAAAUGGAUACGGCUCUGCUCUCACCGGGGCCGCUGUUUGCAUAUUUGAAGCUCUACGGCCACAGCGUCAGCGGGAGAGCUGCGGUGAAGGAAACAGCUUCAGACGCUCGUACGCAAACCCUUCUGCCCGAAGGUUGCUGAUGAUGGAGAAAUGUCUUGUUGGUGGAGAAGGGUGAGAAGACAGAAGAUAGAGAUGGACCUGAAGAAUCCCAGGUUUAUAUUUCUUGGAUGAAGGAGGAGAAAUGUGCACGCAGCAUUUCCUAGCUGGACGCUAACAUGGGGCUCGUGUGUUCUCACCAGAAUGACAAUUCAGGUGCCCUACUUUGCUAUUUUCUUUGAAGACUAUGGGAAGAGAGGGCCUGUGGAAGAGAGUCUCCUACCUGGUAGGGAAGACUCUGUGAGAUGGAGCCAGGAGCUCUUCCAGAUUUUGCAGAUCCUACACCCUGACAGUCCCAUGCCACAGCCUCACGCUGCUCUGUGCUCUCUCCCCUCCGCUGGACACAGCAAAUGACUCUGGUUUCAGUUCCUCCAUGUCUCAGCUGUUUCUGUGACACCCAGUAGAUGGUGCCACCAAGUAGCACAUUUAUGUGAGUGGUUUCUUAUCGGAGGCAUUUUAAGUUUAUUCCAAAUCCUGUACAUCUUAUGAUCUUCCUUCCCUUUCUGUAAAGAGUUUUUCCCGAAGUUUUGGAUAUUACCCCAGAAGGCAUUGUCACCUUUAAUUUUCCCCUAUUUUUAUCAUGCCAUCUAAUUAGCAUCAUUUUUACCAUACAAAUAUUUUGAAAAAAAGCCCCUAAACUGUGAUCAUUCCUUUUUGAAUUUAUAUGAUUCUGUUGGCUUUUCAUGUUUUUUGAGUAAAAUUCAGCCCUCAAAUUUUUUUUAUUGGACCAGAAUCUGCUGUUAGAAAACUCCUGUGAAACAAAUGGUUCUGGAGAAGAAAUGCUGUGAGUGAGUGAGUGCUCAGCACCCUCAGUCACGUCUUUAGAGUCUUAGCUCUCCACUUCCAGACUCCUUGGCAGCACAUUUGGAAGUGGGAGAUCCACUGUUGGUUUUGUCUCUGGCCAGGCUGGAAGCUGUAGAAGCUCAUUUCUUGUAACCAGAGCUGACAGCAAAGGAACAAAUGUUGAGCUCCAUUUCCAUCUUAGAUGUCUUCUGCUGCAUCAGCCCCCAAAUGAGAAUACCUUCUGUGUAGCACAAAUGCUUUGAUAAUUCAGGCUGUCAGCUUGUCUGCAAAAGCCAGAAAAAAAGAUAUGAGAGAAGGCUCCCCUGUGGGCAAAAUGCAAUUCUUCAUUCCUGAUUCUUUGUUUGCUUUUUUUGUUGGAAGUUUCACCUGCGGAGCAUUUGGUUUCCUGCGUCUCAAAGCACGGCUUUCCUUUAGCAGGCUGUUUAAAUAUUUACUUUCUCUGCCCUUCCCAUCCCACCAUACUUCAAACUGGAGAAGGGAACAUUUAUCCACAUGCAGCCUGUAAGAUGCUUUGUCUGAGUGAGUAACAAAUAUUUGCAGUUUAAUAAAGACAGGAGCUUUCAGUCUUUGGGAACAUGUAUUACAGCCUCAAUUUGGAAUGGGUGAUGAGGUGAUUACUAAACCCUGGUUGCCAUGGGGAAGGGAGAAGGGUGAUUGGCUUUUGAUGGAAGAAACUGAGAGGUACCUACAGUAACUUAUUGCUAAUACACACUCAAGGUGCACUUGGCAUCGACACAUCUUGCAGGGAGCAGCAGUCAGUCUUACUAAUGUCUGAGGAGUCAGCUUUAGCAGCAUCAGUUAUUGAUGCUGAAGGUCAGUUUUUUGUGACUGGUCAUUGCUUGUAACCUCCCUCAAAUUUGGUGCAACCGUGGGAGUGAUUCCUGCCAGGGUGGUUGAUUGAAUUUGUGAGCGGUUCAGGGGUACUCGCAAAUCAAGCAGACACUGGCCACCUACAAACAGGCAUAAAGCAUCAGUGUGAAAUGGAAUCUGGAGGCUGAGGGCUUCUGAAUAAGUCAGAUUAUCAUGGUGCUGUGCUGGAGAGCAGCUCCUGCCUUAAACUUCCAAGAACUUAGAAGGAAAGCUGUGCAGUGUUGGAGUUGUUCAUGGGGUUGCAAAGAUGCCCCAGCUGAGCUGUGUGUGUCAGAGGGUUUGUAUCUGUGUUUAGUGCUUAGAGCACAAGGAAGAGGCUGUCUCCUUGGUUAGAUACAUCAGGCUUGACUCUCCUCACCCUUGGAUAAACCUGCAGCAAUCCCUCCCCAGGAGGAAAGCACUGAGCACCUUCACCCUUUCCUAUCCCCCUCUUCUGUAGAGUACAGUUGAGGGCUGCUCUGGGUGUCUUGUUUCUCUCUGGAAAUGGGAAGUAUUUUUAGUGUAACCAUUGAAAACAUGGGCUAACUCCUGCCUUCUGUAUUGGCUAUCAGCCAGUAUUUCUGGAGGGUAGGUAGCAAGCCAGCCUGUUUGCCCUGGGUCACUGUGGUUUUCCACCUCGCUCCUUGUCUCUUCUUAGUGUUUUUCAUGUUGAAAACUGCCCCCAGGUAGCCAGUCUUUGGAAUGACACUUCUUGUCCUUAGUGAUCAGACAGCGGUGGAGACACAUCACUGUAAUUGUGUUUGUCUCCUUCACUGGCUUUUCCUUGUAAAUUUGUUCCUUGAAUUUGUUUCUGGAUGGCAGAUGUGUUAAUGGCUGGGCGGUUUCAAUGUGUUUAUCUUUUGUGUGCUGUAUAUUUUGGAUAUAGAAGCAGCGAGAAGAGAUAAGCUCAAAGAAACCACUUCUGCAUUAAUGCCAGUAAUUCUGAGAUUAUAAAUAUAUAUGAGAGAGUUUCCGUGAUUAUGAGUAUAUUUUAAUGUUUUGUUUAAUGCUGUUGACUCUCUGGGGACGAAACAAGAGGAAAUCUCAUUUGUAUAAUUUAAACAGCUCACAAUAAAAAUAGGAGCAAAGAAAGGACAAAUUAAAUGGCCAUGCUUUCAGACACAUGCAGAUACCACUCCCUUUGAGGGCCCAGUCCUUGCAAUGGAGCCUGUGUGGCUCCAGCCUGUUAUUUCCUGGACUGAAUCCAUGGGCUGUGGAGCCUGUGGCACCACACUCCUGGCAUCUCCUCAAGGGUGGCAGGACUGAGAGAAAUCAAGUCUCAGCUCAUGUGAUGUUACAAUGGAGACGUGGGGACCAUGUUCUAUUUAAGAGGCCAUGGAAAGGACAGCGGGGACUCCCAAAGCCAGUUGUCUCUCCCUUCCCCUUUGUGGACAGCAGACCAUCACAUAGUAAGAGGAGAGGCAUGUAAAAUAAGAUAAAUUUGUGUAGUCCCUAUGGUGGUUUUUAGGUUCUUGAGCAGCUCCUCCUAGCAGAGGUACAGAUAUGUGCUCACCUAAGGUUAAUUUAUUUAUAUACUUUCUUGCUACUUCACAAUCUAUGUUGUUUUCAACACUGUGUCCAGCUCUUUUUUCAGUGUCACAGUCCAUCAUCUCACUCCUUUAUUUGCAGAUUUAUCUUAUUCCAGCACAACAUGCCAAGGAAUAAAAAAUACAACGAUCAACUUUUCUCACAGUUGAGAAAGGACUUGGGGGAAAAAAACCCUGUACAACAAUAAUCUAUCAAAACAUUUCCCAUGAGCAAAGGCUGCUUGACCAAACAUGCUCAGGCUUAUCAGCAAAAAUGAAACACUACUUUUCCCUUUCUCACCCCUUUUGAGUUCUUCUCCCCAGCACUGCACAUCUCUGCUCCCGCGAGGCAGGAUUUUCACCAGAAGUGCUGUUCCCUGAGAAUUUCCUCCAGUCACCUCCAAUUGCCAGCAUCAGAAAAGUCCUUGGGUUAUGGCCCAUAUUUCUGUGCUACAAGAGCAGGCAGCAAAGAUUGCCUCUGGUUUAACAGGUUCAAGUCUGCAGAUAAGAAAUUAAAGGUCUUGCUGUCCAGCUGGUGUUGUACCUUUGCAGCCAACCAAGCCUGGAGCGAGAGGAGCUUUCCCUGUGUCCUGGCAGCAUCUCUCUUGGCUUUCCUUGAUGGUAGGUAUGGAGAAAGGGGACCUGCUCCAUUACCACUGCCCAGACUCAUACAUCCAUCACUCUCUCCCCAUUUAUCCAACUUUUGCUUUUUGCUUGAUGGAGCAAAAGGCUGGGAAAGAGUCGUUUGCUGUUUCUAGGAGUUCUGGCUUCCAUUUCUGGCCCUGUGCCUUGCAGAAAAGCUUUGCUGUUUCUGUGACAAAUUUGGCAGAUUUCUGGCUUCUGGGCUGUCAUGCCUGGACUUCAUGAAGGGAAUUAAGGAGAUGAGAUCAAGAGGAGUAUUUUGUUAUUUGAGAGCAAAGACUUUCCCACUCUACACAGCCUUCCCGUGCUGCACUUGCAGAUGCAGAAAUGUGGCUGCUGUAGGUGUUUUCCUUCUGGGAUGUGUGUCAGCAGAUCCAUUUCAAUCUCCCACUGUCAAUUCGGUGUGACAUGAUCUUGGUUAAGCCAUACAUUUCCAUUCACAGCCUGUGAUCACAAAGAUAUUCAUCAAUUUUUGGAGGGACCAAGGGGUUUUAAACUUGAUAUUCCUGCACUGUUAUUGGGUAGGAAGUAUAUUUAUAUGUAAGAAUUCCUUAUUUCUGAAGCAUACAAGAAAAGCCCAUAUACCUGGAAAAUUAUUUAUUCUUCAUUAUCUGAAUUUUUGCUGCAAGAAGCUGCACAUCAUUGGGCUGCUGUGUUGCUCCUGGCAAAAGGCAGCCUCAAGAAGGGGCUUAAUAUCCCUUAUAGCAAAUUGCUGGAGGACUCCCUGGAGGACACUGUUGCCCAUUUUGGCCCCUGAUGGUCUGUGUGGAACAAGCAGAUGGCUAAAAUAUAUCCAAACUCGAGACCCGAAGGUAACCUGAAAGGAUUAGUGAGAAUUUCACCUUUCUGCAGGGAGAGAAAGGAAUACAUUGCAGCUCAGACCUCUUGGAAAGGUCUAACGUGGUAUUUAUUUCAGAUAUAAAUUUGACUAUAUAAAAAUGACACCUUUGUACUCAGCCUGUGGUGCCAGAUCCAGCUCUCACUUGUAAAUUAGGAGUAGAUCCAUUCAGGCGAUGGAAUUACAGCAGCUGAUGUGACAGCAGCCUCAUCUUGGCAAUAUUUCAUUCACUGAGUGCCUCUAAUAUCUCUAAUAUCCUGCUGGUGUGAAUCAGAAGAUACUGCUGAAACCAACAGUGGUGGAUAGGGAAUGAAAGAGAAGCAGGACCUGCAUGUUUUUGGGCAGCAGAUAUCCUGGGCACACUCUCCAGUCACAGAGCAGCAGCCUCCCCACCGCCUCACCGGGCACUCGGGAGCCGUGCUGGAAAGAUGAUGCCAAAAAAUGCUUUUGCACAAACUCUUGAUCACCCUUUCAUGUUGCUGCCUGAAUGCACCUCUGCACCUUCUCCCUGAUGUUCCAGGGCUACCACGAGGACCUCAUGUGGCUGCUUGUCCCAGCCCAGCCUGUUUCCCCUCCCACUCAGAGGAGCAGAUGCAGCCUUGGCCCUGCCAAGGCUUUUCUCACAACUGAGAAAAGACUCGUGAAGGAGGACUUGAGGAGGAGGAUUUUGGAUAC